CACGGACCAUGAACUCCAUCUCUGCCUCCAGUUAAGUCUAAUCCUGACUAAAUGUAUUCACCCUCUUCCCCUAUCUGCACCAGGACUGAAGAUGACUCCUGUGGGAAGCCCAGCAGCUGAAGGACCAGAGUUUUCCACACAGACUUGCAUGAAUAAGUAAAACUGGCAGCUGCAAUGUGUUUUGAAAAUGCUACGAGUGUUUCACUGUGAGCAGCCUGUGCAGCGUGGUAGACUGAAAUAUUUCAUGUC
RNAcentral lists this long non-coding RNA (249 nucleotides) under Cyanistes caeruleus (blue tit). Its description in RNAcentral is "lncRNA (ENSCCEG00000020988.1)". Lineage: Eukaryota; Metazoa; Chordata; Aves; Passeriformes; Paridae. The record is from RNAcentral.